CUUCGGACCUCGCGCUAUGAGAUGAGCCUGCGUUAGAUUAGCUAGUUGGUAGGGUAAAGGCCUACCAAGGCGACGAUCUAUAGCUGGUCUGAGAGGACGAUCAGCCACACUGGGACUGAGACACGGCCCAGACUCCUACGGGAGGCAGCAGUGGGGAAUAUUGGACAAUGGGCGCAAGCCUGAUCCAGCAAUACCGCGUGUGUGAAGAAGGCCUUAAGGUUGUAAAGCACUUUCAAUUGGGAGGAAAACCUGCCGGUCAAUACCCGGUAGCUUGACAUUACCUUUAGAAGAAGCACCGGCUAACUCCGUG
This 310-nucleotide ribosomal RNA is filed under the name uncultured bacterium. RNAcentral describes it as "bacterial SSU rRNA". It matches the Rfam family "Bacterial small subunit ribosomal RNA", at positions 202 to 507 of the family's 1533-position model. The record is from RNAcentral.